Molecule: long non-coding RNA, 281 nt
Filed under: Triticum aestivum (bread wheat)
Lineage: Eukaryota; Viridiplantae; Streptophyta; Magnoliopsida; Poales; Poaceae
Description: long non-coding RNA (TAES_LNC021283)
Source: RNAcentral
GCGGUGACGACGUCCUUGAGCCUGGCGUCGGCGGGGAGGCGCCAGUAAUCUAUGGCGAUGGCCGGCGCGGGCGUGUUCUCGAUCAAGCCAGCCUCGAGGUCCUUGAGGUAUUCGGUGUAGGAGUGGACGGCCUCCUCCUCGAGGUAGCCAACGAAGCGGUGCGCGAACUUGGGGGAGACGAGGUAGCCGACGAAGUAGGCGUUGAAGAAGACGCCCUGAGUGGCGAGCACGAGCGCGCGCUCCCACCACAGCGGCUGCGUCACCUCCAUGAAGGUCAUGAG